AUUCCUCAUCUGGAAAAUGCAGAUAACAGGAUGAAGGCGGACAGAGCCCCCUGUCCUUAAGAAAGGGGAAGUAUGGGUGGAAGAGGGUAGCAGUGGCACAUCAGGCAACAGAGACAAAAAUAAGGGGAUGGUUUGAUAGUUUUAUGGAGUCAUAAAACUAGCCAUUAUUUAUCAAGAAUCUUCUAAAUGUUGGGAACUUUGAAAACAUCAUUUUAUUAUAAUCACCCUACAAAUGGGAAUGGCCCUCUGUUUAAAGAGUUAAAAAAAAAAAAAGUAGGUGGAACAAAAUUAAGUAACUUGUCUAAGGCCAAACAAGUGGCUGGUAGAUCGGUUCUCAGGCCAGUCUAACUUUAGUUGCUAUUCUGUUUCUUCUAUGCCAAGUAAAGCGGUAUUUCAUUGUGUUUGGUGUUCUCGGGGAAGGUUUGGCACUCCUGGAGUUGCUAAGAUUUGGAUUUGCAGAGGUUGAAGAACAACACAUUCAGGCAGAGAGGACAGAGGAAGCAAAAAUGCAGCGUGAAAUCUCCAGGCCAUGAGCGGAGGGCUGUGUGUUAGAAGAUGAAUUUGGAAAGGGCCAUUUGCUCAGACCACGCAGGGUCGUCGAGGUUAGACUAAAAUACUUGCAUUUAUUUAUUUGGAAAGGGAGCUGAAAGCCAUUUUCAAUAGGUCUUGAGCACAGGCGUGGAUGUGCCCCACUUUGAAACCACGGCAUCUCCUUGACAACCAGAACCUGAUUAGAAUUUCAGGACCUCGUGGAAACAGGAUGUGCAAAGUAAGGGGAAUGCCAUCUUUGGGGGGUUCUCUGCCUAUCUGGAAUAAUCUCCAGAGUAUUUUGGCACAUCCCCACUGGGGGUGUACACCAGGCUUUUGUGGGUCUUCAUCCUCAAUAUCUGGGACCUUAAACAUGACUGUACCCAUAAUUAGACUGGUGAGUUCGGGGCAGAAAUAUCCAAACUUCAGAGCAUAAGAAUCCCUGAGGAACCUGUUAAAGAUCUAGAUUCAUAGAAUCACCCCCCAACAGUUCUGAUUUAGUGCGUAUGGGCCAGAGGCCAGGGACCUCCAUUUUUAAAAAGCUCCCAGGUAACUGGUGGCCACUGGUCAGACCUUGAAGGAGAAUGGCUGGGGCAUAAGAACUUUCCAGUUCUGAAUGCAUUAAAAACACAAGUGCAUGCCACAGGGUAAUAUUUGAAGUCUGUGAAAAGAAAAAGAAAAAAAGCAAAGUAAACUGCAGAAAGACAAGUGGAUACAGAAAGUAAUCAUAAAAUCACUAAUGGGGGCAGGAUACAAGGAAAAGGAGUAUUUUCUGCUGGCUUGUCAGUGAAGGUUUCUGCUAUGCUUUACUCCCACGGGUGGAGUAAAUUGAUAGUUCUCCACCACGACGCACCCAGAAUCACCUGGAGACUUUAAAAACACCGAUGUCUGAGAACCAAUCGCCCACCCUGAGAUUCUGAUGGAAUUAGUACGAGUUGCACCCAGGACAUUUGAUCUUGAAACCUCUCCUGGGGAUUCCAACAUCCAGCACACUUUGAGAACCAGUAGGCAAGAAUUCGAAACACGUCCCACUGAGCGGAUACCUUGCUAACCGUGGAGACAGUGGCAGCCUGGAUUGACCGCACUGACCUGCAGACAGACUGGGGAGAAGACAGAUGCGGCAGAGAUGCAAAGGAAGCCCAGCUGCUCCUUGCAGUGGGAUCUCAGAAGUGCUGGGAAGGUGAACGCAGAAACACACCCGUUUCUCGGGACCCGGAGGAACAGGAGGCAAGUGUCCAUUCUUGCCUGUGAACGGAACACUGGCAGAUUGAAGUUAUUGUCGAUUUCUCUACGCUUUUAUAUCUGUAUUUCUAUGGACCUAAAUGUCUGUAUGUGCACUUACAAGUACGGUCCACGAGCUACUUGUGCCUUUGUCAUUGUUCUUCUCCUUAUAACUCUGUGGUAAGCAUGAAAUAUGUCCAUGAAGAUAAGACAUG
This 1964-nucleotide long non-coding RNA is filed under the name Vulpes vulpes (red fox). Its description in RNAcentral is "lncRNA (ENSVVUG00000011667.1)". Lineage: Eukaryota; Metazoa; Chordata; Mammalia; Carnivora; Canidae. The record is from RNAcentral.